ACAUGCCUACAACAUAACAUUAAUGCACCUAAUCCCAUUAUAACUGCGCAGUUAAACGCGGUGAGGAUAGAGUAGUAUUGGGAUGGGUGACCGCUUAAUAAUUCCUAGUGUUUUGCAUGCC
This is a non-coding RNA of Picea glauca (white spruce), 121 nucleotides long. The record is from Rfam. NCBI's taxonomy places the organism in Eukaryota, Viridiplantae, Streptophyta, Pinopsida, Pinales, Pinaceae.